AGUGAACGCUGGCGGCAGGCCUAACACAUGCAAGUCGAACGGCAGCACAGGGGAGCUUGCUCCCUGGGUGGCGAGUGGCGGACGGGUGAGGAAUACGUCGGAAUCUGCCUUUUCGUGGGGGAUAACGUAGGGAAACUUACGCUAAUACCGCAUACGACCUACGGGUGAAAGCCGGGGACCUUCGGGCCUGGCGCGGAAAGAUGAGCCGACGUCGGAUUAGCUAGUUGGAGGGGUAACGGCCCACCAAGGCGACGAUCCGUAGCUGGUCUGAGAGGAUGAUCAGCCACACUGGGACUGAGACACGGCCCAGACUCCUACGGGAGGCAGCAGUGGGGAAUAUUGGACAAUGGGCGAAAGCCUGAUCCAGCCAUGCCGCGUGUGUGAAGAAGGCCUUCGGGUUGUAAAGCACUUUUGUACGGGAAGAAAAGCCCUGGGUUAAUACCCCGGGGUCAUGACGGUACCGUAAGAAUAAGCACCGGCUAACUUC
Molecule: ribosomal RNA, 487 nt
Filed under: uncultured Gammaproteobacteria bacterium
Lineage: Bacteria; Pseudomonadati; Pseudomonadota; Gammaproteobacteria
Description: bacterial SSU rRNA
Rfam family: Bacterial small subunit ribosomal RNA
Source: RNAcentral